This is a long non-coding RNA of Hypanus sabinus (Atlantic stingray), 2174 nucleotides long. RefSeq lists it as uncharacterized. Lineage: Eukaryota; Metazoa; Chordata; Chondrichthyes; Myliobatiformes; Dasyatidae. The transcript has 4 exons. The record is from RefSeq and is a predicted model, not a curated record.
UCGGUUGCCACUGGCGACUGUUGGAGCUGGUUUGCUUGCCGUGUUGGCGAGCCGCCACAAGUGUUUUAUUGCUCCCUGAUUCUUAACCGUGCAGUUGCAAGCUGGAGCAGUCUUUCCCUUUCAUCAACUCCAAGGGCAGAUUUUACUCCUCUUUGCCCCUUUUAGACAGAAACUGUGCAUCUUAUACUUAAGUGCUGCAGGUACCAAUCUCAGCUGGACUUCAGACAAGAAUUCUCCAUCAUCUGUUCUGCAUUAUUGUCUGAAGAUCAGGAGCAGCCGCCACCAGCAUCCCUUUGUAAUUUACUUCAGUCACGUAAGGACUCAAGCUGUACUCCCACCGUGUCCGAAUGGAUACAAUUAUCAGAGUAUUAGUGGCUGUGUUGGCCAGGGGUCAGCAACCUUUACCACUGAAAGAGCCACUUGGACCCGUUUCCCACAGAAAAGAAAACACUGGGAGCCGCAAAACCCGUUUGACAUUUAAAAUGAAAUAACACUGCAUACAACGUUUUGUUUUGCCUUUAUGCUAUGUAUAAACAAACUACAAUGUGUUGCAUUUAUGAAAUUGAUGAACUCCUGCAGAGAAAACGAAAUUACAUUUCUGCAUGCAACAAAAACAUUUUGAACUCCGAAAAAAAGAGGUUGGGUUGAAGGUUACUUUUAAGUAAAAUACUCAAUGUCUAUUUGAGUUCUUCUUGUAUUUAUGAAAAACGCCAAACUUAAAUUUGCCGCCAGCAGCAAACCAAAAAUAACGUCAGCCAGCUGUCAACCUGAAAAAUAAAAGGUCUAUUUCACUGAACAAUGAAAACAUAUGAAUAUACGUAAAAUAAUAGGCAAUUAAAAUAUUUAUCAUACUUGGUCAGGUUGACUCACACCUGACAAUGCAGUCGUAUUCAGUAGGGAUGGAUCGAUGCUUAGGGGAGUGACCGGGAAGGAUAAUGUGUUUUUUUCCUCUCUGAACUCACAGAAGCGUUUCCCAAACGAUGUUUGCAUUGCGAUGAUUGCAGAAUGUAAAUACUCCGAAUUUAUCAUGUCGUGACCUUGUUUGAACUCUCUCAAAUUGGGGAAGUGAGACAAUGUGCCUUUCUGUAAAUCUCUGGCAAGCAACGUCAACUUGCGCUCGAAUGCCAAAACAUCCUCCAACAUGUGCAGGGCUGUACGUCCUUACCCCGUUGAAGAGCUGUGUUCAGCGUGUUCAGGUGCGCUGUCAUGUCUACCAUGAAGUGUAGCUUUUCCAGCCACUCUGGCUGUUCCAGCUCAGGAAAGUUGAGCCCUUUGCUGCCCAGGAAAGUUUUCACUUCUUCCAGACACGCGACAAAGCGUUUCAGCACCUCCCCUCUGGACAGCCAGCGAUAAAAACACGUUGUAGCGGUGUGCUACACGCAGUCAGUAAACUGCAGUCAAAGAUAGCUUUAUUCGAACUAAACAGCCUUGCUUUUAAGCCUCCCUCAACCCGCCCCCCAUGGGCGCGGAUGCUGCAAAAGACACGUACUCACAAACCCCCGUAGGCUAUCUCCCUUAGCCUGAACGCUGGCUAAUUGUGAGCCGGUUCGGAUGUGUCAGGAAAUGGGUCGCCACAACGUCUUAUUUAGAUUGUACAAGAUCACCAUAAUCUUCAAAUUUAGAUUUACAUUUCAAAAACUAACAAACUAACAUAAAAUACAUUUUAAUUAAAUACUGACCAUGUAGCGGUGUGCUACACGCAGCGCUAAAAUUACGACACGGAGUCGGUAACCGCCGUCGAAGGAAAAAACUUUAUUCGAAAUCUUCAGCCUCACUUUUAAGCCUCCCUCAACCUGCCCCCCCCAUGGCGCAGAGGCUCCAAAGCUCUGUGCUCGCAAACCCCCGUAGGCUAUCUAAUUGUGAGCCGGUUUGGAUGUGCCAGGAAAAGGGUCGCCACAACCAAUUAUUUCCCAAAGCAACAGGGAGCCGCAGCAUAGACGUAAAAGAGCCACAUGUGGCUCCGGAGCCGCGGGUUGCCGACCCCCGCUCUAGGCUGAUAUUCCCACCCAGCUUUGUGUUAUCUGUAAACUAGAGAAAGUACUAUUAACUCCUUCAUUCAAAUCAUUAAUUUAUGGUAAGUAACUAGGGUUCCAACAAUGAUCCCUGUGGUACUUAACCCUGUGACUGCGACCUAGAGGAAACCAUGCUUAUUUCUGUUUCUUGUGGGCCAAAUA